UGUAACUCCCUAUCAUUCUGAUUUUAUAAAUUCCUCAGUGGGUUAAAUUCAGUUUGUAUCUCUAGUGUGAAGAUACUAGAAGCGUUGUGACUUUCCCGCUGUCUGACGUGGAGAAGUGGAGCCUUGGUGGGCAUGAGUGAGCUCCCAUACACUUUUAAUUUGAGUAAAACCGUAGUUCUAACGUUAUGGGGUGGUCAUAAUGUUUUGCAGGAAGCCGGGGUGGUUGAGUACGGGGAGUGUCCAAUUCAGCUCUUCCUGUGUGUGUGAUCACCUGUUCCCCUCCGCGCUGAUGCUCCUCCCUUUGCAAUAGUGCUACUGUUUUUUUCCUUAUUGUUUUUUUUUUUGUUCUACGUAUUUGUUACAUUUCACGUUAAUUAUUUUUAUAUAUAUAUUUAUGCAGUCAUUGUUUGUGAGCUGCCUCUGGUGAGCGGCAGUGGUUUAUUUUGUUUUUUUUUUUUAUCUUGAACGUGCGUUGCACGUGAUUCAGCGCGUUGCACGUGAUUCAGCGCGUUGCACGUGGCUCAGCGCGUGGUUUGUGUGUGUGUGUGUGUGUGUGUCUGUGAUUGUUUUCCUAUACUUCCCGUGCUCUGAAUUGCGCGCUGCUGCGGGAGAGAACCCGUAUGGCGCUGUGAGCGAUGACAGGCUGCUGAGGUGGUGAAGUCUAACUGGGUUUUCUAAGUGGUGUUUGUGUGCUGUGUAGUGGGGACUCCUCUCGCCUGCAGUCAGCACUGUUCACAGUGUGCUCCAGCCCUGUUCAGGUUUUGUUUUUGGUUGUUUGUGUGAUUGUGUUUUCUUCUUUUUUUGUUAAUUAAAUUUAUUUUGAAUUAUUAUUGUGAUUUUUUUGUUAAAAUGCAAUAUUUAUUAAAAUUUGAAUUUUAAAUAGAA
This is a long non-coding RNA of Astyanax mexicanus (Mexican tetra), 885 nucleotides long. RefSeq lists it as uncharacterized. Lineage: Eukaryota; Metazoa; Chordata; Actinopteri; Characiformes; Acestrorhamphidae. The transcript is spliced from 2 exons. The record is from RefSeq and is a predicted model, not a curated record.